CGUAGGGUGCAAGCGUUAAUCGGAAUUACUGGGCGUAAAGCGUGCGCAGGCGGCUUUGCAAGACAGAUGUGAGAUCCCCGGGCUUAACCUGGGAACUGCAUUUGUGACUGCAUGGCUAGAGUGCGGCAGAGGGGGAUGGAAUUCCGCGUGUAGCAGUGAAAUGCGUAGAUAUGCGGAGGAACACCGAUGGCGAAGGCAAUCCCCUGGGCCUGCACUGACGCUCAUGCACGAAAGCGUGGGGAGCAAACAGGAUUAGAUACCCUGGUAGUCCACGCCCUAAACGAUGUCAACUGGUUGUUGGACGGCUUGCUGUUCAGUAACGAAGCUAACGCGUGAAGUUGACCGCCUGGGGAGUACGGCCGCAAGGUUG
This 370-nucleotide ribosomal RNA is filed under the name uncultured organism. Its description in RNAcentral is "bacterial SSU rRNA". It matches the Rfam family "Bacterial small subunit ribosomal RNA", at positions 526 to 896 of the family's 1533-position model. The record is from RNAcentral.